This 26-nucleotide non-coding RNA is filed under the name Rattus norvegicus (Norway rat). Lineage: Eukaryota; Metazoa; Chordata; Mammalia; Rodentia; Muridae. The record is from RNAcentral.
UGCCAGUGUAAUAGUGCCGUGAACAU